This 497-nucleotide ribosomal RNA is filed under the name uncultured bacterium. Its description in RNAcentral is "partial 16S ribosomal RNA". It matches the Rfam family "Bacterial small subunit ribosomal RNA", at positions 28 to 507 of the family's 1533-position model. The record is from RNAcentral.
GAUGAACGCUGGCGGCGUGCCUAAUACAUGCCAGUCGAGCGAACGGACGAGAAGCUUGCUUCUCUGAUGUUAGCGGCGGACGGGUGAGUAACACGUGGAUAACCUACCUAUAAGACUGGGAUAACUUCGGGAAACCGGAGCUAAUACCGGAUGAUAUUUUGAACCGCAUGGUUCAAAAGUGAAAGACGGUCUUGCUGUCACUUAUAGAUGGAUCCGCGCUGCAUUAGCUAGUUGGUAAGGUAACGGCUUACCAAGGCAACGAUGCAUAGCCGACCUGAGAGGGUGAUCGGCCACACUGGAACUGAGACACGGUCCAGACUCCUACGGGAGGCAGCAGUAGGGAAUCUUCCGCAAUGGGCGAAAGCCUGACGGAGCAACGCCGCGUGAGUGAUGAAGGUCUUCGGAUCGUAAAACUCUGUUAUUAGGGAAGAACAUAUGUGUAAGUAACUGUGCACAUCUUGACGGUACCUAAUCAGAAAGCCACGGAUAACUACGUG